GAUGAACGCUGGCGGCGUGCCUAAUACAUGCAAGUCGAGCGAACAGACGAGGAGCUUGCUCCUCUGACGUUAGCGGCGGACGGGUGAGUAACACGUGGAUAACCUACCUAUAAGACUGGGAUAACUUCGGGAAACCGGAGCUAAUACCGGAUAAUAUAUUGAACCGCAUGGUUCAAUAGUGAAAGACGGUUUUGCUGUCACUUAUAGAUGGAUCCGCGCCGCAUUAGCUAGUUGGUAAGGUAACGGCUUACCAAGGCAACGAUGCGUAGCCGACCUGAGAGGGUGAUCGGCCACACUGGAACUGAGACACGGUCCAGACUCCUACGGGAGGCAGCCGUAGGGAAUCUUCCGCAAUGGGCGAAAGCCUGACGGAGCAACGCCGCGUGAGUGAUGAAGGUCUUCGGAUCGUAAAACUCUGUUAUUAGGGAAGAACAAAUGUGUAAGUAACUAUGCACGUCUUGACGGUACCUAAUCAGAAAGCCACGGCUAACUACGU
RNAcentral lists this ribosomal RNA (496 nucleotides) under uncultured bacterium. RNAcentral's name for it is "partial 16S ribosomal RNA". It matches the Rfam family "Bacterial small subunit ribosomal RNA", at positions 28 to 506 of the family's 1533-position model. The record is from RNAcentral.